Molecule: ribosomal RNA, 371 nt
Filed under: uncultured organism
Description: bacterial SSU rRNA
Rfam family: Bacterial small subunit ribosomal RNA
Source: RNAcentral
CGUAGGCAGCGAGCGUUGUUCGGAGUUACUGGGCGUAAAGGGUGUGUAGGCGGUUGUUUAAGUUUGGUGUGAAAUCUCCCGGCUCAACUGGGAGGGUGCGCCGAAUACUGAAUGACUUCGAGUGCGGGAGAGGUGAGUGGAAUUCCUGGUGUAGCGGUGAAAUGCGUAGAUAUAAGGAGGAACACCGGUGGUGUAGACGGCUCACUGGACCGUAACUGACGCUGAGACACGAAAGCGUGGGUAGCAAACAGGAUUAGAUACCCUGGUAGUCCACGCCCUAAACGAUGCAUAUUUGGUGUGGGCAGUUCAUUCUGUCCGUGCCGGAGCCAACGCGUUAAAUAUGCCGCCUGGGGAGUACAGUCGCAAGGCUG